This is a microRNA precursor of Ciona intestinalis (vase tunicate), 59 nucleotides long. The record is from Ensembl. Lineage: Eukaryota; Metazoa; Chordata; Ascidiacea; Phlebobranchia; Cionidae.
GUGGUUAGUGCGCCUGCCUUUAACCCAGAGGUAAUGGGUUCAAGGCUCGUCGUUGCUAC